GUCUCCACGAGUAUGUUGUCACUAUCUACCAUUUUUCCUCUUUCCCAAUCAUUUCCAUUUCCAAUAACAAAACUGUAAAAACAAAAACAAAAAUACCAGACAGGGAAAAGAAAGAAGAUGACAUUGGGGACGACAACACAAGCAUCGUACACACAAGAUCCAGGACCAUUUGAUUGGUACCAAAAAUAUCCAGCUUUAUCUCCUCUUCUUCAUCUCUAUGUACCUCUACAUAAUCGUGUUCUUGUCAUUGGAUGUAGUAAUGCAGCUAUCAGUGAAGACAUGGCUAAUGAUGGGUUUGAGGAUAUUGUAAACAUCGAUAUUUCGUCGGUGGUGAUUGAAGCUAUGCAAACAAAGUAUCAAGACAUUCCUGCUCUCAAAUAUAUUCAAAUGGAUGUUCGAGAUAUGAGUGGUUUUGAAUCAGGGUCUUUUGAUGCUGUUCUAGAUAAAGGAACUCCGGACUCUAUUAUGUGUGGCCAUAAUUCGCUAGAAAAUGCGUCUAAAAUGCUAGAGGAGUUAAUGCCACUGUCAGGGUCCUCAAGGGUAAUGGAGUGUACAUUCUGGUACGAAAACCUUGAUCUUUGUUCUUUCGCUCUUUCACACCUGGAGUAUACUUGUCAGAAGUUUCAUUUGUACAUCCUGACUUGGUUCUAUAAAUGCAGAUUACAUAUGGAGCUCCAGCUUACCGGCUACCUAUGUUGAAAAAACUGUCCUUGUGGACAAUAAAGUUACAUGUUGUAGAGAAGCCCAUGGCUGAUGGAAAUGCAGAGCAGAUAAAAUGGGAGUUAACAAAUCCUGUAUCCUUGGACGAGACAGGUAGUUCAGUUGAGACAGCUCUCGGAAGGACUCCAGAAGUCCAUUUUAUUUAUGUCUGUACCAAGGAUGAGUCCUUACAAUCUUCGAGUUCGAAGCAGGAGAUCGAGUUUUGAAGGAAAAAGUAAUAAGGAGAUUACCUCCAAAAUUUUGUUUGAAAUUUAUAUCCACUAGUAUGUUUCUUGGAUUCAAUUUGUUGAGAUUUAUCAGUAAAUAAUGGGUCACUGUCAUUUCUCUCAA
This is an RNA transcript of Papaver somniferum (opium poppy), 1050 nucleotides long. It is a transcript of the gene named EEF1A lysine methyltransferase 4-like, with no coding region annotated. The transcript is spliced from 8 exons. NCBI's taxonomy places the organism in Eukaryota, Viridiplantae, Streptophyta, Magnoliopsida, Ranunculales, Papaveraceae. The record is from RefSeq and is a predicted model, not a curated record.